Molecule: long non-coding RNA, 362 nt
Filed under: Ananas comosus (pineapple)
Lineage: Eukaryota; Viridiplantae; Streptophyta; Magnoliopsida; Poales; Bromeliaceae
Description: long non-coding RNA (ACOM_LNC028819)
Source: RNAcentral
UUCAAAAUCUAAGGAAAGCAAUAAAAAUGAAUAAAAUUCUAAAUUACAGAAAACUUUUCUAUCAAUACCUGUUUUUUCACUUUUUCUUCCUCACUUUUAGAAAACUAUAUUUUAUCCCCAUCAAAAUUAAGAAAUGUUUACUUCACCCGUCGUAAGUAUUUCGUCGCGAUUCCAUCUAUAUCCUAUAUUACGUAAUUUUAUUAUACCCAAAAUACCUUCUGUGAACAUUUCUUAAUUUUUGAUAUGUUUUUAAAAGCCGGGGAGGAAAAGUGAAAAAACAGGUAUUGAUAGAGGUUUUUUUUUUUAUAAUUUAGUCAAAAAAUAAAUAAGUUAAUAGUUUUAAGCUUUUGUCUUUUUUUAUU